Molecule: long non-coding RNA, 617 nt
Organism: Medicago truncatula (barrel medic)
Lineage: Eukaryota; Viridiplantae; Streptophyta; Magnoliopsida; Fabales; Fabaceae
Exons: 2
Source: RefSeq, a predicted model, not a curated record
AAUGCAAUUUAACCCUAAUUUACAUCAUUUUUACUCAGCUAUGGCUUCCAAACCUCAACUACAAUGAAGGGUUUAUAAAUACCAGGCCAUAAAUCACAUAUCUCCAAAGAAAGACAGAAACAUAAUACAUUAUCAUCUAAAAUGGGUAAGGAAAAAAAAAAUGUGUUGAAGAGUGAUAUGGGCCACUCUGGUCAUCCUCCUGCACAUGCUACGAAUUCGAGAGCUGCUCAGGAAAAUGUGCUUGAAAUGGAUAUGAGCCAUUCUGUUCGUCCUCUUGAAAAUACGAAGCCGAAGGAUCCUAAGAAAAACCCACUCUCAAACCAGAAAGGCUAUUCGCCUCCUCUUCCUAAGAAAAAAUAGUCUUAUGGCUAACAGGAUAUAUUUUACUUGUGAAAAUUACAGAUGGAAGAAAGUUUACUGCAACAUAUUUACAAAACAUAUUUACGUAAUGUAUUGUUUGUUAAAGAUUUACUGUUUGUUUGUAAUAGUUGAAUUGUGAUAUUAAUCCAGCUUAUGUUAUAGUUAUAGCCUAUAGGUGUAUAAAUAAGACUCAAUGUAUUGAUCAAAGUGUGCAUUUCAAUAUUUAUUCAAUAAUAUUUGUUAGAUCAUUCAGUUAA